Long non-coding RNA from Hyla sarda, 434 nucleotides. RefSeq lists it as uncharacterized. The record is from RefSeq and is a predicted model, not a curated record. Lineage: Eukaryota; Metazoa; Chordata; Amphibia; Anura; Hylidae. The transcript is spliced from 3 exons.
AGUAUACCAGUGUAAACCACAACGUGAACCCAGAAUUCUUGGAAGCCUGAGUUUUGGCAGUCUUGGUAACAAAUGGUGGCCAAUUGGUCAUUGCACAGACUAUGUAUGAUCACAUGCUCUUCCCCUCCCAUCUCCCUCCACCCCCUCCAUAGACUUGUAUUACGUGUCUUGCAGUCACAGGACAAAGCUGAGCUGAUUUUCAGAGUGAAAGAGCAUGGGGAGUAGUUGCACUUUUGGAAGGCUGACUAAUAUCAGGUACAGCAACACUGCUCCCUUGCAAACUUGGGCUGCUAAAGUUUUCAAGCAUCUCAGCCAUGUGUAAUCUUUCACUUGACCGGUCCAUACUGCUACAUGUCACGACCCUGUGAGGGGGAAGUCUGACCUGUUUGUGGAUUAUUUUACACAUGAUUCGAGCACUGCUUGGCAAUUGCACC